GGAUGGUCUGAGUGCAGUGGUGUUUACAACUAAUUGAUCACAACCAGUUACAGAUUCCUUUGUUCCUUCUCCACUCCCAUGGCCUCACUUGACCAGCCUUAA
Molecule: unclassified non-coding RNA, 102 nt
Organism: Prolemur simus (greater bamboo lemur)
Lineage: Eukaryota; Metazoa; Chordata; Mammalia; Primates; Lemuridae
Rfam family: Y RNA
About the family: Y RNAs are components of the Ro ribonucleoprotein particle (Ro RNP), in association with Ro60 and La proteins. The Y RNAs and Ro60 and La proteins are well conserved, but the function of the Ro RNP is not known.
Source: Ensembl